CCUGGUUGAUCCUGCCAGUAGUCAUAUGCUUGUCUCAAAGAUUAAGCCAUGCAUGUCUAAGCACAAGCCCUUGAAUGGCAAAGCCGCACAUGGCUCAUUACAACAGCCAUAGUUUAUUAGAUCGUACUUUCCUACUUGGAUAACUGUGGUAAUUCUAGAACUAAUACACGCAGCAAAGCUCGGACUCACGAACGAGCGCAUUUAUUAGAGCAAAACCAAUCGGGUUUCGGCCCGUCCUUUGGUGAAUCUGAAUAACUCUGCAGAUCGCACGGUCUCGCACCGGCGACGCAUCUUUCAAAUGUCUGCCUUAUCAACUUUCGAUGGUAGUUUAUACGCCUACCAUGGUUGUAACGGGUAACGGAGAAUAAGGGUUCGACUCCGGAGAGGGAGCCUGAGAAACGGCUACCACAUCCAAGGAAGGCAGCAGGCACGCAAAUUACCCACUCCCGGCACGGGGAGGUAGUGACGAAAAAUAACGAGGCGGUUCUCUACGAGGCCCGCCAUCGGAAUGGGUACAAUUUAAAUCCUUUAACGAGGAUCUAUUGGAGGGCAAGUCUGGUGCCAGCAGCCGCGGUAAUUCCAGCUCCAAUAGCGUAUAUUAAAGUUGUUGCGGUUAAAAAGCUCGUAGUUGGAUCUGCGGUCAAGGGAAGUGGUCCUCCGACGGAUGGUUACUGCUUUUCCUGACCUAACUACUUCGGUUUUCCCUUGAUGCUCUUAACCGGGUGUCUUGGGCGACCGAAACGUUUACUUUGAAAAAUUAGAGUGCUCAAAGCAGCGUCAGCUGAAUAGUGUGCAUGGAAUAUAAAAGAGGAUCUCGGUCUAUUUGUUGUAUUGGAUUGAGAUAUGAUCGACGGGAUAGACGGGGCAUUCG
This 871-nucleotide ribosomal RNA is filed under the name uncultured eukaryote. Its description in RNAcentral is "SSU rRNA". It matches the Rfam family "Eukaryotic small subunit ribosomal RNA", at positions 3 to 894 of the family's 1831-position model. The record is from RNAcentral.